RNAcentral lists this long non-coding RNA (2863 nucleotides) under Homo sapiens (human). RNAcentral describes it as "HSALNT0024502". Lineage: Eukaryota; Metazoa; Chordata; Mammalia; Primates; Hominidae. The record is from RNAcentral.
UUUUUCAAAUGCUUUUUCUGCAUCCAUUGAGAUAAUCAUAUGAUUUUUGUUUUUAAUUCUGUUUAUGUGAUAUAGCCCAUUUAUUGACUCAUGUAUGUUAAACCAUCCCUGCAUCCCUGGUAUGAAACCCACUUGAUCAUGGUGGAUUAUCUUUUUGAUAUGCUGUUGGAUUCAGUUAGCUAUUAAUAUUUUGUUGAGGAUUUUUACAUCUAUGUUCAUCAGGGAUAAACAUAGUUUUGCUAUGUCCUUUCCUGGUUUUGGUAUUAGGGUGAUACUGGUUUCAUAGAAUGAUUUAGGGAGGAUUCCCUCUUUCACUAUCUUUUGGAACGGUUUCAGAAUAAGAUUGGUACCAAUUCUUCUUUGAAUAUCUGAUAGAAAUUAGCUGUGAAUCCACCUGGUCCUGGACUUUUUUUGUUGUUGGAAAUGUUUUUAUUGCUGUUUCGAUCUCGCUAGUUGUUAUGUUCAGUUUCUAUUUCUUCCUAAUUUAAUCUAGGAGGGUUGUAUAUUUUGAUUUUCUAGUUUCUGUAAAGGUGUUCGUAGUAACCUUGAAUGAUCUUUUGUAUUUCUGUGGUAUCGGUUGUAAUAUCUCCCAUUUUGUUUCUAAUUGAGCUUAUUUGGAUCUUCUGUCUUCUUGGUUAAUCUCACUAAUGGUCUAUCAAUUUUGUUUAUCUUUUCAAAGAAUCAGCUUUUUGUUUCAUUUAUCUUUUGUAUUGCCUUUUUGUUUCAAUUUCAUUAGUUCUGCUCUGAUCUUUGUUAUUUCUUUUCUUCUGCUGGGUUUGGGUUUGGUUUGUUCUUGUUUCUCUAAUUCCUUGAGGUAGGACCUUAGAUUUUCUAUUUGUGCUCUUCCAGACUUUUUUGAUGUAGGAAUUUAAUGCUGUCAACUUUCCUCUCAGCCCCACUUUUGCUGUGCCUCAGAGGUUUGGGUAAGUUGUGUCAUUAUUAUCAUUCAGUUCUAAGAAUUUAAUUUCCAUCUUGAUUUCAUUGUUGACCCAAAGAUCAUUCAGGAGCACAUUAAUUUCCAUGCAUUUAUAUAGUUUUGAGGGUUCCUUUUGGAGUUAAUCUCCAAUUUUAUAUUCCACUGUGGUCUGAGAGAGUACUUGAUAUAAUCUCAAUUUUCUUAAAUUGAUUUAGACUCAUUUCAUAGCCUAUCAUAUGGUCUAUCUUGGAGAAUGUUCUAUGUGCCAAUGAAAAGAAUGUAUAUUCUGCAGUUGUUGGGUAGAAUGUUCUGUAAGUAUCUGUUAAGUCCGUUUGUUCUAGGGUAUAAUUUAAGUCCAUUGUUUCUUUGUUAACUUUCUGUCUUGAUGGCUUGUCUAGUGCUGUCAGUGGAGUACUGAAGUACCCCACUAUGGUGUUGCUAUCUCAUUUCUUAAUGUCUAAUAAUAAUUGUUUUAUAAAUUUGGGGGCUCCCAUAUUAGGUGCAUAUAUAUUUAGGAUUGUGAUAUUUUCCUGUUGGACUGAUCCUUUUAUUAAUAAAUAAUGUCUCUCUUUGUCUUAACUGUUGAUGCUUUAAAGUCUAUUUUGUCUGAUAAAAGAAUAGCUACUCCUGCUUACUUUUUGUUUUCAUUUGCAUGGAAUAUCUUUUUCCACCCCUUUACCUUAAGUUUAUGUGAGUACUUAUGCAUUAGUUGAGUCUCUUGAAGACAGCAGAUACUUGAUUUGUGGAUUUUUACCUAGUCUGCCAUUCUGUAUCUUUUAAAUGGAGCAUUUAGGCCAUUUACACCCAACAUUAGUAUUGAGAUGUGAGACUGUUUUAUUCAUCAUGCCAGUUGUUGCCUGAAUACUUUUUUUUUUCAUUGUUUUAUAGGCCUGGUGAGAUUUAUGCUUUAAGGAGGUUCUAUUCUGGUGUAUUUUGAGGUUUUGUUUCAAGAAUUAGAACUCCUUUUAGCAUUUCUUGUAGUGCUGGCUUGGUAGUGGCAAAUUCUUAGCAUUUGGUUGUCUGAAGACUUUGUAUCUUUUCCUUCAUUUAUGAAGCUUUGUUUUGCUGGAUACAGAAUUCUUGGCUGACAAUUAUUUUGUUUGAAGAGGCUAAAGAUAGGACCCCAAUCCCUUCUGGCUUAUAGGGUUUCUCCUGAGAAAUCUGCUGUUAAACAGCUUUUAAAAUUCUUUCCUUUGUCUUGACUUUAGAUAACCUGACUGUGCCUGAUCAUCUUUUUGCAAUUAUUUUCCCAGGUGUUCUUUGAGCUUCUUGUAUUUGGAUGUCUAGAUCUCUAGUGAGGCCAGGGAAGUUUUCCUUGAUUAUUCCCUCAAAUAUGUUUUCCAAACUUUAGAUUUCUCUUCAUCUUCAGGAACACCAAUUAUUAUGUUUGGCCAUUUGACAUAAUCACAAAUUUAUUGGAGGCUCUGUUCAUUUUGUAAAUUCUUUUUUGUCUUUGUGGAUUGGGUAAUUGCCUUGUCUUCAAGUUCUGAAGUCCUUUCUUUUCUACUUGAUUCUAUUGUUGAAACUUUACAGUGAAUUUUUUAUCCUCCAAGUGCGUCUUUCAUUUCCAGAAGUUGUGACAGUUUUUUAUUAUAUCUGUUUCUCUGGAGACAUUUUCAUCCAUAUCUGUAUUUUAAAAAAGAGUACUUAAGUUGGUUUUCACCUUUCUCUGGUAUCUCUUUGAGUAGCUUAAUAAUCAACCUUCUUAAUUAUUUAUCUGGCAAUUCAGGUAUUUCUUCUUGGUUUGGAUCCAUUGCUGGAGAGCUGGCAUGAGCCUUGUUAUAGAACCUUGUUUUGUCAUAUUACCAGAACUGCUUUUCUGAUUCCUUCUCAUGUGGGUAGACUAUUUCACUGGAAAAAUCUGGAACUCAAAGCUGCUGGUCAGAUUCUUUUGUCUGGGUGGUUCCUUGAUGUGGGUUGCUUCCCCUUCUCCUAGUGAUGGGGCUU